CAGUGAGGGCCCUUCAACAUCUCCUGACUUAGUCUACAAAGCCUACAUGUUACUCCAGUAUCAGAAGGGUGGCAGAACCUGGCAGGGAGUGUGUUGCAUCUGAAAAGUCCCAUGUUUGUAUGGGACUCUUGGACUUGUGGCCAGAGCAUUACAAAUGCAGCUGUUUCAAGAGUAAGGAAGUUUGCUGAUCUGCACGCUUAAGAAGCUGGCUUUGUUUCUGGUGUAACAAUGGGCGACUCCAAAUUACAGAAGAGGAGGUAGAGCAUUCACAUCUACUUCCAGAAUUAUCAUCAGGACUAUGUGUUUUGCCCUCCACUGAUAAGAGGUUCAAAUAAGUGGUUUGUCUGAAAGAAGAGCACUCCAGAGGUACUUUCAGCUAUGGCAAAGCCUAACCUAGGGGAAAAGGAUAUGGACAAUAUUGUCUUCUCACUUGAUUCACUAUAUGCACCAUCACCUCUUGACCAGGUUUUGGCUGUGAUACUUUGAGAUGCUAGAGCUCAGUUUGCUUGCAUUCUUCCAUGAGAAUUUGGUUCUGCAUUGUCACAGCAGGAAGGUAAUCAUUGACUGGGUCUUGAAUGCUUGUAAGAACCUGACCUAUCCCUCGGCUGAUUCUCUGCCCAUAAGACCCACUGCUGUGUUUGGCUGAGACUGUCUGACCUCUGUAGACUUGAGCCUGAUGCUCACAAAUACCGAACUUGCUUAGCAGGAUAAACACAUCUCUGCGGAAAGCUUUAGUGAAAAUAGCAUAAAGAAAGGGGUUGGCACAAGAAUUGAGUGGGUAGAAAAGUACCAGCAAAAUCUUGGAAUUGGAGACAGUUAUUAAUGGUUUGUUCAUAAUGGCAGAUAAAGCAUGGAAAGAGAUGGGAGCCAUGCACAGAAAGUCUGUGAAAAUCAGCACAGCCAUCCGCUUGGCAAUUUUGGUGUCUUUGUCCCCUGACUUGUACUGGGGGUUUCGCACAGUCGUGUAGAUUUUUAUGUAGCAGGCACAA
Molecule: non-coding RNA, 989 nt
Organism: Lonchura striata (white-rumped munia)
Lineage: Eukaryota; Metazoa; Chordata; Aves; Passeriformes; Estrildidae
Source: RefSeq, a predicted model, not a curated record